RNAcentral lists this ribosomal RNA (244 nucleotides) under uncultured Lactobacillus sp. RNAcentral's name for it is "partial 16S ribosomal RNA". It matches the Rfam family "Bacterial small subunit ribosomal RNA", at positions 119 to 355 of the family's 1533-position model. Lineage: Bacteria; Bacillati; Bacillota; Bacilli; Lactobacillales; Lactobacillaceae. The record is from RNAcentral.
GGGUAACCUGCCCAAGAGAUCGGGGUAACAACCUGGAAACAGAUGCUAAUACCGGAUAACAACAGAUGAUGCCUAUCAACUGUUUAAAAGAUGGUUCUGCUAUCACUCUUGGAUGGACCUGCGGUGCAUUAGCUAGUUGGUAGGGUAACGGCCUACCAAGGCGAUGAUGCAUAGCCGAGUUGAGAGACUGAUCGGCCACAUUGGGACUGAGACACGGCCCAAACUCCUACGGGAGGCAGCAGUU